This 466-nucleotide unclassified non-coding RNA is filed under the name Hevea brasiliensis (rubber tree). The record is from RNAcentral. Lineage: Eukaryota; Viridiplantae; Streptophyta; Magnoliopsida; Malpighiales; Euphorbiaceae.
GUUCAAACAAACGCAAGCCUGUGCAGAAAGUAAAGAUCUAGGAAUGACUGCAUAACUAUAUUAAUUUUUGAGAUCCUAACUUAGUGAAGAAAAGCAAGAGAUUAUACCCAAUUCACCUUUUAUUGUUGAAUUCAAAGAUAUUUAAAUACAAAAUAAAAGAAAAUCUGACAGUCUGGUUUUGGCUACAAAAUUGAUUUUUUUUUCCAAAGCUGACUUCUUUUAUCGAGAGACACUCUUUGUUGACGAUAAAAGCAAUGCUCCGUGUUGAGUUGUAUGAGAUAAGCCAUAAUUUGGGUCAGCUCUAAUCCUAAUAAAUACCACGUGAAGCGCGUGAUCCCCCAGAUUUCUAUGCGCCUACUUUUACAAAGAAAGACAACCUCAACAAAAAAUGACCAAAUCAUACCUUUAAUUCCUUUUUGAGUAAAAAAAGAUGACUGAAUCAUAUUAUUUUCCCUCUUGAAUCAAG